CAGGACGAACGCUGGCGGCGUGCCUAAUACAUGCAAGUCGAGCGGACAGAUGGGAGCUUGCUCCCUGAUGUUAGCGGCGGACGGGUGAGUAACACGUGGGUAACCUGCCUGUAAGACUGGGAUAACUCCGGGAAACCGGGGCUAAUACCGGAUGCUUGUUUGAACCGCAUGGUUCAGACAUAAAAGGUGGCUUCGGCUACCACUUACAGAUGGACCCGCGGCGCAUUAGCUAGUUGGUGAGGUAACGGCUCACCAAGGCAACGAUGCGUAGCCGACCUGAGAGGGUGAUCGGCCACACUGGGACUGAGACACGGCCCAGACUCCUACGGGAGGCAGCAGUAGGGAAUCUUCCGCAAUGGACGAAAGUCUGACGGAGCAACGCCGCGUGAGUGAUGAAGGUUUUCGGAUCGUAAAGCUCUGUUGUUAGGGAAGAACAAGUGCCGUUCAAAUAGGGCGGCACCUUGACGGUACCUAACCAGAAAGCCACGGCUAACUACGUGCCAGCAGCCGCGGUAAUACGUAGGUGGCAAGCGUUGUCCGGAAUUAUUGGGCGUAAAGGGCUCGCAGGCGGUUUCUUAAGUCUGAUGUGAAAGCCCCCGGCUCAACCGGGGAGGGUCAUUGGAAACUGGGGAACUUGAGUGCAGAAGAGGAGAGUGGAAUUCCACGUGUAGCGGUGAAAUGCGUAGAGAUGUGGAGGAACACCAGUGGCGAAGGCGACUCUCUGGUCUGUAACUGACGCUGAGGAGCGAAAGCGUGGGGAGCGAACAGGAUUAGAUACCCUGGUAGUCCACGCCGUAAACGAUGAGUGCUAAGUGUUAGGGGGUUUCCGCCCCUUAGUGCUGCAGCUAACGCAUUAAGCACUCCGCCUGGGGAGUACGGUCGCAAGACUGAAACUCAAAGGAAUUGACGGGGGCCCGCACAAGCGGUGGAGCAUGUGGUUUAAUUCGAAGCAACGCGAAGAACCUUACCAGGUCUUGACAUCCUCUGACAAUCCUAGAGAUAGGACGUCCCCUUCGGGGGCAGAGUGACAGGUGGUGCAUGGUUGUCGUCAGCUCGUGUCGUGAGAUGUUGGGUUAAGUCCCGCAACGAGCGCAACCCUUGAUCUUAGUUGCCAGCAUUCAGUUGGGCACUCUAAGGUGACUGCCGGUGACAAACCGGAGGAAGGUGGGGAUGACGUCAAAUCAUCAUGCCCCUUAUGACCUGGGCUACACACGUGCUACAAUGGACAGAACAAAGGGCAGCGAAACCGCGAGGUUAAGCCAAUCCCACAAAUCUGUUCUCAGUUCGGAUCGCAGUCUGCAACUCGACUGCGUGAAGCUGGAAUCGCUAGUAAUCGCGGAUCAGCAUGCCGGUGGAAAAACCUUUCCCGGGGCCUUGUACACACCGCCCGUCACACCACGAGAGUUUGUAACACCCGAAGUCGGUGAGGUAACCUUUUAGGAGCCAGCCGCCGAAGGUGGGACAGAUGAUUGGGUG
This 1476-nucleotide ribosomal RNA is filed under the name Bacillus inaquosorum. RNAcentral describes it as "bacterial SSU rRNA". It matches the Rfam family "Bacterial small subunit ribosomal RNA". Lineage: Bacteria; Bacillati; Bacillota; Bacilli; Caryophanales; Bacillaceae. The record is from RNAcentral.